This 637-nucleotide long non-coding RNA is filed under the name Phoenix dactylifera (date palm). RNAcentral's name for it is "long non-coding RNA (PDAC_LNC008604)". The record is from RNAcentral. Lineage: Eukaryota; Viridiplantae; Streptophyta; Magnoliopsida; Arecales; Arecaceae.
GCAAAAAUAAAAUUGUUCUCCCAAGUGCAGGAGAAUCGCACAAGUAGUAUAACUCGGAAGUCCGAGGUCGAUUCCUUAGGGAACGAUCUAUGGAUUAUUAGCUUAAUUUCAGAUUAAUUGAUUCAAUAAACUUGUGGAUUAAGAUGAUGGUUUGCAAAUAGAAAAUAAACCAGUAAAUAGAGAGUCGAAGUUUGGUUAGAUUAAGAUGGUGUAGGGAUCCAGAAUCUCCUUUAAUAAUAUCAAGUUCAUGCAAUAAAUUCUAUGAUUCUUUUGUUUUCUUUUAAAAAUUAUAAGCAGAUAAAAUUUAAUUAUUGAGUAUGUUCUUGAUAACAUGAAUUCUCUUUUUAAGCAUUCAACGUGCCUUAGAACGUCAACGAUGAAUCAAAUAAUUGAGGAAGACAUGUAUCAAUAAGCAUAAAUCAUAAAAGAAUUUUUAACAUAUAAGAAUCAUAACAUAAUUAAAAGAUAAAUCGUAUAAAGCAAAGGAUUAGAAUUUACAUCAUGAACUCGGUACACCAAAGGAUCCUCCUUCACCCAUCACCAAGGAUUUUAGCUCAUCAUCUUCCUCUCUCUUUCUCACUCUUUUUUUUUUAAUAACUGAAACAGGGCAUCCCCUGUUUCUUUCUACUUUUUUUUU